GUCCUAGCCGUAAACGGUGCAUGUUUGCUGUAAAAGGAUUCGACCCCUUUUGUGGCGUAGCUAACGCGUUAAACAUGCCGCCUGGGAAGUACGGUCGCAAGAUUAAAACUCAAAGAAAUUGACGGGGCCUGCACAAGCGGUGGAGUAUGUGGCUCAAUUCGAUGCAACGCGAAGAACCUUACCUGGCCUUGACAUGUACGUAGUAGAAGGGUGAAAGCCUGACGAGGUAGCAAUACCAGCGUACACAGGUGCUGCAUGGCUGUCGU
This 266-nucleotide ribosomal RNA is filed under the name uncultured bacterium. RNAcentral's name for it is "partial 16S ribosomal RNA". It matches the Rfam family "Bacterial small subunit ribosomal RNA", at positions 793 to 1055 of the family's 1533-position model. The record is from RNAcentral.